Molecule: transfer RNA, 74 nt
Filed under: Herbaspirillum sp.
Lineage: Bacteria; Pseudomonadati; Pseudomonadota; Betaproteobacteria; Burkholderiales; Oxalobacteraceae
Description: tRNA-Arg
Rfam family: tRNA
About the family: Transfer RNA (tRNA) molecules are approximately 80 nucleotides in length. Their secondary structure includes four short double-helical elements and three loops (D, anti-codon, and T loops). Further hydrogen bonds mediate the characteristic L-shaped molecular structure. tRNAs have two regions of fundamental functional importance: the anti-codon, which is responsible for specific mRNA codon recognition, and the 3' end, to which the tRNAs corresponding amino acid is attached (by aminoacyl-tRNA synthetases). tRNAs cope with the degeneracy of the genetic code in two manners: having more than one tRNA (with a specific anti-codon) for a particular amino acid; and 'wobble' base-pairing, i.e. permitting non-standard base-pairing at the 3rd anti-codon position.
Source: RNAcentral
GCCCCAGUAGCGCAAUGGACUAGCGCGUUGUACUUCUAAUUCAAAGGUUGUGGGUGCGUCUCCCAUCUGGUGUG